GAUGAACGCUGGCGGCGUGCUUAACACAUGCAAGUCGAACGGAAAGGCCCAAGCUUGCUUGGGUACUCGAGUGGCGAACGGGUGAGUAACACGUGGGUGAUCUGCCCUGCACUUCGGGAUAAGCCUGGGAAACUGGGUCUAAUACCGGAUAGGACGAUGGUUUGGAUGCCAUUGUGGAAAGUUUUUUCGGUGUGGGAUGAGCUCGCGGCCUAUCAGCUUGUUGGUGGGGUAAUGGCCUACCAAGGCGUCGACGGGUAGCCGGCCUGAGAGGGUGUACGGCCACAUUGGGACUGAGAUACGGGCCAGACUCCUACGGGAGGCAGCAGUGGGGAAUAUUGCACAAUGGGCGCAAGCCUGAUGCAGCGACGCCGCGUGGGGGAUGACGGCCUUCGGGUUGUAAACUCCUUUGGCUAGGGACGAAGCGUUUUUGUGACGGUACCUGGAGAAGAAGCACCGGCUAACUACGUG
This 468-nucleotide ribosomal RNA is filed under the name uncultured bacterium. Its description in RNAcentral is "partial 16S ribosomal RNA". It matches the Rfam family "Bacterial small subunit ribosomal RNA", at positions 28 to 507 of the family's 1533-position model. The record is from RNAcentral.